Molecule: transfer RNA, 77 nt
Filed under: Chloroflexota bacterium
Lineage: Bacteria; Bacillati; Chloroflexota
Also listed under: 2 other names
Description: Chloroflexi bacterium (aquatic metagenome) tRNA-Glu
Rfam family: tRNA
About the family: Transfer RNA (tRNA) molecules are approximately 80 nucleotides in length.
Source: RNAcentral
GGCGCAUUCGUCUAGGGGUCUAGGACACCGCCCUCUCAAGGCGGAGAUCGGGGGUUCGAAUCCCCCAUGCGCUACCA